This 1343-nucleotide ribosomal RNA is filed under the name uncultured bacterium. Its description in RNAcentral is "16S ribosomal RNA". It matches the Rfam family "Bacterial small subunit ribosomal RNA", at positions 28 to 1378 of the family's 1533-position model. The record is from RNAcentral.
GACGAACGCUGGCGGCGUGCUUAACACAUGCAAGUCGAACGGAAAGGCCCUGCUUUUGUGGGGUGCUCGAGUGGCGAACGGGUGAGUAACACGUGAGUAACCUGCCCUUGACUUUGGGAUAACUUCAGGAAACUGGGGCUAAUACCGGAUAGGAGCUCCUGCUGCAUGGUGGGGGUUGGAAAGUUUCGGCGGUUGGGGAUGGACUCGCGGCUUAUCAGCUUGUUGGUGGGGUAGUGGCUUACCAAGGCUUUGACGGGUAGCCGGCCUGAGAGGGUGACCGGCCACAUUGGGACUGAGAUACGGCCCAGACUCCUACGGGAGGCAGCAGUGGGGAAUAUUGCACAAUGGGCGGAAGCCUGAUGCAGCAACGCCGCGUGCGGGAUGACGGCCUUCGGGUUGUAAACCGCUUUCGCCUGUGACGAAGCGUGAGUGACGGUAAUGGGUAAAGAAGCACCGGCUAACUACGUGCCAGCAGCCGCGGUGAUACGUAGGGUGCGAGCGUUGUCCGGAUUUAUUGGGCGUAAAGGGCUCGUAGGUGGUUGAUCGCGUCGGAAGUGUAAUCUUGGGGCUUAACCCUGAGCGUGCUUUCGAUACGGGUUGACUUGAGGAAGGUAGGGGAGAAUGGAAUUCCUGGUGGAGCGGUGGAAUGCGCAGAUAUCAGGAGGAACACCAGUGGCGAAGGCGGUUCUCUGGGCCUUUCCUGACGCUGAGGAGCGAAAGCGUGGGGAGCGAACAGGCUUAGAUACCCUGGUAGUCCACGCUGUAAACGGUGGGUACUAGGUGUGGGGUCCAUUCCACGGGUUCUGUGCCGUAGCUAACGCUUUAAGUACCCCGCCUGGGGAGUACGGCCGCAAGGCCAAAACUCAAAGGAAUUGACGGGGCCCCGCACAAGCGGCGGAGCAUGCGGAUUAAUUCGAUGCAACGCGUAGAACCUUACCUGGGUUUGACAUGGAUCGGGAGUGCUCAGAGAUGGGUGUGCCUCUUUUGGGGUCGGUUCACAGGUGGUGCGUGGCUGUCGUCAGCUCGUGUCGUGAGAUGUUGGGUUAAGUCCCGCAACGAGCGCAACCCUUGUUCACUGUUGCCAGCACGUUAUGGUGGGGACUCAGUGGAGACCGCCGGGGUCAACUCGGAGGAAGGUGGGGAUGACGUCAAGUCAUCAUGCCCCUUAUGUCCAGGGCUUCACGCAUGCUACAAUGGCUGGUACAGAGAGUGGCGAGCCUGUGAGGGUGAGCGAAUCUCGGAAAGCCGGUCUCAGUUCGGAUUGGGGUCUGCAACUCGACCUCAUGAAGUCGGAGUCGCUAGUAAUCGCAGAUCAGCAACGCUGCGGUGAAUACGUUCCCGGG